AUUCAUCUUCGGGGCAGGGUGCAAGUCCCUACCGGCGGUAAUUGAACUCUGUUCAUAAGCCCGCGAGCCGUAAAACGCAGGAUUUGGUGAGAUUCCAAAGCCGACAGUAUAGUCUGGAUGGGAGAAGGUGAAG
Molecule: regulatory RNA element, 133 nt
Organism: Planococcus sp. PAMC 21323
Lineage: Bacteria; Bacillati; Bacillota; Bacilli; Caryophanales; Caryophanaceae
Rfam family: FMN riboswitch aptamer (RFN element)
About the family: The RFN element is a highly conserved domain that is found frequently in the 5'-untranslated regions of prokaryotic mRNAs that encode for flavin mononucleotide (FMN) biosynthesis and transport proteins. This element is a metabolite-dependent riboswitch that directly binds FMN in the absence of proteins.
Source: Rfam